RNAcentral lists this small nuclear RNA (30 nucleotides) under Arabidopsis thaliana (thale cress). RNAcentral describes it as "snRNA_02726". The record is from RNAcentral. Lineage: Eukaryota; Viridiplantae; Streptophyta; Magnoliopsida; Brassicales; Brassicaceae.
UAAGUCCGUUCGGCGGAAGCGUCGUUCGGA